Molecule: long non-coding RNA, 591 nt
Organism: Anastrepha obliqua
Lineage: Eukaryota; Metazoa; Arthropoda; Insecta; Diptera; Tephritidae
Exons: 2
Source: RefSeq, a predicted model, not a curated record
UUAAUGACAAAUUUCCCAUUUAUUAACUUUCUUUUUCUUCUCUUUGGGAAGAUAUUUAGCUUACGCUCUUGAUUUGGAUUGAUCCGCAUCGUUCUCUUUGGAAUGGAACCGAGCUGGAUAACCCAAGAAAACGCGCUAGGUGUUUGGCCGAGCUCCUCCUCCAAUUUGUGACGUGUGUCUUGCUGUUGUUCCACAAAUGGAGGGACCUGCAGUUGUAACUCUGAACGGCAAAUAUUUAUUAUGAGGGGCUUUUUUCACGCAGAAAUAUCAUACAUUCGGAAGUUUGCCAUUGCCUGCCGAGAAGCGAAAAAACUGUUUCUAUACCUUUGGUGUUUCAUGCGCGGAGAUUCGAACCUACGUACUUCCAAAUGGUAGUUGCUCACCAAGCCAUUCAGCUACGGCAGCCACCAAAAUAUUGCUACCACUCAAAAAUAUUAGAUAUUAAUUUUUCGUAAAGCGAAAAGUGUCUAAGUAAUUUAUCUUAUGCUAAUUUGUGUAUUGUCUUUAUUUUAUACAGUUGUUUACUAAUAUCUGUCCUAAUGUACGUACUAGUAAAACAAAUUAAAUAAAGUGAUGAUUAAUAAAAAUUGA